RNAcentral lists this ribosomal RNA (655 nucleotides) under Streptomyces sp. GLT-Irr-9. RNAcentral describes it as "bacterial SSU rRNA". It matches the Rfam family "Bacterial small subunit ribosomal RNA", at positions 100 to 768 of the family's 1533-position model. Lineage: Bacteria; Bacillati; Actinomycetota; Actinomycetes; Kitasatosporales; Streptomycetaceae. The record is from RNAcentral.
CAACGAAUGAGUUCCCGGUGGGUUGAUCUGCCCUUCAGUAUGGGACAAGCCCUGGAAACGGGGUCUAAUACCGGAUAACACUUCCACUCUCCUGAGUGGUGGUUAAAAGCUCCGGCGGUGAAGGAUGAGCCCGCGGCCUAUCAGCUUGUUGGUGAGGUAAUGGCUCACCAAGGCGACGACGGGUAGCCGGCCUGAGAGGGCGACCGGCCACACUGGGACUGAGACACGGCCCAGACUCCUACGGGAGGCAGCAGUGGGGAAUAUUGCACAAUGGGCGAAAGCCUGAUGCAGCGACGCCGCGUGAGGGAUGACGGCCUUCGGGUUGUAAACCUCUUUCAGCAGGGAAGAAGCGAAAGUGACGGUACCUGCAGAAGAAGCGCCGGCUAACUACGUGCCAGCAGCCGCGGUAAUACGUAGGGCGCAAGCGUUGUCCGGAAUUAUUGGGCGUAAAGAGCUCGUAGGCGGCUUGUCACGUCGGGUGUGAAAGCCCGGGGCUUAACCCCGGGUCUGCAUUCGAUACGGGCUAGCUAGAGUGUGGUAGGGGAGAUCGGAAUUCCUGGUGUAGCGGUGAAAUGCGCAGAUAUCAGGAGGAACACCGGUGGCGAAGGCGGAUCUCUGGGCCAUUACUGACGCUGAGGAGCGAAAGCGUGGGGAG